Molecule: unclassified non-coding RNA, 389 nt
Filed under: soil metagenome
Description: partial contains 5.8S ribosomal RNA, internal transcribed spacer 2, and large subunit ribosomal RNA
Rfam family: 5.8S ribosomal RNA (bases 1-122)
Source: RNAcentral
GAUGAAGAACGCAGCGAAAUGCGAUACUUGGUGUGAAUUGCAGAAUCCCGUGAACCAUCGAGUCUUUGAACGCAAGUUGCGCCCGAAGCCAUUAGGCCGAGGGCACGCCUGCCUGGGCGUCACACGUCGUUGCCCCCCCAUCUACUCCUUCGGGAUUGCGGGGGGCGGAUGAUGGCCUCUCGUGCGCCUCGUCGCGCGGUUGGCCUAAAUGCCAAGUCCUCGGCGACGCACGCCACGACAAUCGGUGGUUGCGAAACCUCGGUUGCCUGUCGUGUGCGGUCGUCGCGCAUCGAGGGCUCGAAAAAAUUGCCGGGCUUCGGCUCGACUUUCAACGCGACCCCAGGUCAGGCGGGGUUACCCGCUGAAUUUAAGCAUAUCAAAAGGGAGGA